This 253-nucleotide unclassified non-coding RNA is filed under the name uncultured Candidatus Altimarinota bacterium. RNAcentral's name for it is "uncultured Candidatus Gracilibacteria bacterium contains 16S-23S intergenic spacer region". It matches the Rfam family "Bacterial small subunit ribosomal RNA", at positions 524 to 776 of the family's 1533-position model. Lineage: Bacteria; Candidatus Altimarinota. The record is from RNAcentral.
UACGGAGGGUGCAAGCGUUAUCCGGAAUUAUUGGGCGUAAAGCGUCCGCAGGUGGUUUGUUAAGUCAGAUAUUAAAGACGGCAGCUCAACUGUCGGAAUGUAUCUGAUACUGGCAGGCUAGAGUCUUGGAGGGGUAAGCAGAAUUCUGCAUGUAGGGGUAAAAUCCGUAGAUAUGCAGAGGAAUACCAAAAGCGAAGGCAGCUUACUGGCCAAGUACUGACACUCAUGGACGAAAGCGUGGGGAGCAAACAGG